UAGGGAAUCUUCCACAAUGGGCGAAAGCCUGAUGGAGCAACGCCGCGUGUGUGAUGAAGGGUUUCGGCUCGUAAAACACUGUUGUAAGAGAAGAAUGACAUUGAGAGUAACUGUUCAAUGUGUGACGGUAUCUUACCAGAAAGGAUCGGCUAAAUACGUGCCAG
Molecule: ribosomal RNA, 164 nt
Filed under: uncultured bacterium
Lineage: Bacteria
Description: partial 16S rRNA
Rfam family: Bacterial small subunit ribosomal RNA
Source: RNAcentral